This 255-nucleotide ribosomal RNA is filed under the name uncultured bacterium. Its description in RNAcentral is "partial 16S ribosomal RNA". It matches the Rfam family "Bacterial small subunit ribosomal RNA", at positions 337 to 608 of the family's 1533-position model. The record is from RNAcentral.
UCCUACGGGGCGCAGCAGUGGGGAAUAUUGCACAAUGGGGGAAACCCUGAUGCAGCGACGCCGCGUGAGUGAAGAAGUAUUUCGGUAUGUAAAGCUCUAUCAGCAGGGAAGAAGAAGGACGGUACCUGAGUAAGAAGCCCCGGCUAACUACGUGCCAGCAGCCGCGGUAAUACGUAGGGGGCAAGCGUUAUCCGGAUUUACUGGGUGUAAAGGGAGCGUAGACGGCGAAGAAAGUCUGAAGUGAAAGCCCGCGGC